RNAcentral lists this ribosomal RNA (292 nucleotides) under uncultured bacterium. RNAcentral's name for it is "partial 16S ribosomal RNA". It matches the Rfam family "Bacterial small subunit ribosomal RNA", at positions 335 to 641 of the family's 1533-position model. The record is from RNAcentral.
GGUCCUACGGGAGGCAGCAGGGGGGAAUAUUGGGCAAUGGGCGCAAGCCUGACCCAGCAACGCCGCGUGAAGGAGGAAGGCCCUCGGGUUGUAAACUUCUUUUAUUCGGGACGAAACAAAUGACGGUACCGAAUGAAUAAGCCACGGCUAACUACGUGCCAGCAGCCGCGGGAAUACGUAGGUGGCAAGCGUUAUCCGGAUUUACUGGGUGUAAAGGGCGUGUAGGCGGGAGAGCAAGUCAGACGUGAAAGUCCAGUGCUCAACCCUGGAACUGCGGUUGAAACUGGUCUUC